RNAcentral lists this long non-coding RNA (893 nucleotides) under Ananas comosus (pineapple). Its description in RNAcentral is "long non-coding RNA (ACOM_LNC025558)". The record is from RNAcentral. Lineage: Eukaryota; Viridiplantae; Streptophyta; Magnoliopsida; Poales; Bromeliaceae.
UAAGUAGUACGAAACAUUGAUUAUAUUAGGGGUUGUUUAAUUGGUUGCAUGCAUUUUCAACUGCAUUGUAAUUAAAAAUGUAUGCAUCUAUUAAUUUUUUAUUUCGAUUGGUAUAGUUAGGCCCAACUGCAACAAUUGGAUCUGCACGAAAAGGUCCAAUUGUUGUAGUACCAAUUGCAGCAGUUGAGCCGGAGUCGGCUUACCCUUUAAAAAUAUAAACAAAAUGUGAUUUUUUUUUUCAUACGCUUCUUUUUAAAUUUUUAUUUUUUCAAAAAUAUAUAUUCAUGAAAUCUGAUAGGAUUUAGUAAUGUCUAUUAGGGCCAAUAAAUUUUAUCAUAUGAUUUCUUACUUUUUAGUAUGCUAGUUUAAUAAUAUCUUAAUUUUUAUUUUGACCAAAUUUAUAAUAUAUUUACAUUUAAAAUUUAUUAAAUUCAUAUAUAACUUUAUAAUAUAUAAAUUAUAUAUAGAUAUAAAAGUCUUAAUUAAUAAUUAAAACACGAUUACGUUAUGCUCAGAAGAGAUAAUCUUACCUUUCUAUCUAAAAAUUAACAGAAUUUAUAAAUACAAAUUUCAACUGCAGACUACCAAACAGAAAAAAUAUAACUGCAGCAGUUGCAACUGAAUAAAACCAAACAGACUAGAUGUAAUUAAGACUGCAGCAUUUACAACUGCUUAUAUUUCUAACUACACUAUUUUUGUAAUUAACUACAUCCAAGCAAACGGCCUCUUAGUGUAAUAUGUCAUAUUAGAAUAUACCUUAUUAUGAGCAAAUUAAGCAAUGCAAGCAAAGACCAUCGAAUGACUCAAAUUUUAUAAGAAACAUGGUAAAAGAUUAAAAAAUCGGAAUUAAAACAAAUCAUAGUCCAAAAUAUAUAAUUUCCUUGUAUUUUUAC